Molecule: ribosomal RNA, 380 nt
Filed under: uncultured bacterium
Lineage: Bacteria
Description: bacterial SSU rRNA
Rfam family: Bacterial small subunit ribosomal RNA
Source: RNAcentral
AAUGAACGUUGGCGGCGUGGAUUAGGCAUGCGAGUCGUGCGAGAACCGUAGCAAUACGGGGACAGCGGCGAAAGGGGAGAGGAACACGUGGAUACCUACCCUCAGGGUUCAGGAUAGCUAUGGGAAACUAUAGGUAAUACUGAAUAAUAUCUCCGGAUCAAAGGUGUGAUUCCGCCGGAGGAGGGGUCCGCGUCCUAUUAGCUAGUUGGUGAGGUAAUGGCUCACCAAGGGCGAAGAUGGGUACGGGAUGUGAGAACAUGAUCCCGCUCAUUGGGACUGAGACACUGCCCAGACACCUACGGGUGGCUGCAGUCGAGAAUCUUCGGCAAUGGGGGAAACCCUGACCGAGCGACGCCGCGUGUGAGAUGAAGGCCUUCGGG